Symphalangus syndactylus (siamang) is the source of this 596-nucleotide long non-coding RNA. RefSeq lists it as uncharacterized. The record is from RefSeq and is a predicted model, not a curated record. Lineage: Eukaryota; Metazoa; Chordata; Mammalia; Primates; Hylobatidae.
CGCCCGCCUCAGCCUUCCAAAGUGCUGGGAUUACAGGCGUGAGCCACCGCGCCUGGCCUUUCUUUUUUUUUUUUUUUUUUUUUUUUUGAGACGGAGUCUCGCUCUGUGGCGGAAGCUGGAGUGCAGUGGCGCAAUCUCGGCUCACUGCAAGCUUCGCUUCCCGGAUUCACGCCAUUCUCCUGCCUCAGCCUCCGGAGUAGCCGGGACUACAGGUUGGGCCGACUGCUCCAUCUCUCAAAUCUCUAGAUGUAGGGGGAUCCACAGCCACAUCUGUACUGAAUUAUUCCUUUUGGUUUCCCUACACCCUCUCCACACCAUUGAGAAAAGAGAUAUUUUGGAUGCCCCAGGGAAACAGAUUUCACUCUGUCACCCAGGCUAGAGUGCAGUGGGUGAUGAAGCUUACUGCAGCCUCAACCUUUCAGGCUCAAGUGAUCCUCCUGUGUCCAGAAUUGGUUCCUUCCGGUGGGUUCUUGGUCUCACUGACUUCAAGAAUGAAGCUGCAGACCCUCACGAUGGUUUCGGAAGUGAGAUCAGAAGUAGAGCUUCUAAUGACCCCCAGAAGCACUGAGUGACCAAGUGACACACCUGCCAGCCCC